RNAcentral lists this ribosomal RNA (62 nucleotides) under uncultured organism. Its description in RNAcentral is "partial 16S ribosomal RNA". The record is from RNAcentral.
UGGGCUUGACAUGUCAGGAAUUCUGCAGAGAUGCGGGAGUGCCCUUCGGGGAAUCGGAACAC